AAUAGAUACCCAGGUAGUCCACGCUGUAAACGAUGUCUACUAGAUAGAGGCAGUUUCGACCCUGUCCCUGUCGCAGCUAACGCAUAAGUAGACCGCCUGGGGAGUACGGUCGCAAGAUUAAAACUCAAAGGAAUUGACGGGGACCCGCACAAGCAGCGGAGUGUGUGGUUUAAUUCGAUGCAACGCGAAGAACCUUACCAGGGUUUGACAUGCUCGCGCACCGGGUAGAGAUACUCGUGCCCGCAAGGGACGCGAGCACAGGUGCUGCAUGGCUGUCGUCAGCUCGUGCCGUGAGGUGUUGGGUUAAGUCCCCUAACGAGCGCAACCCCUAUCGUUGGUUGUACUUCUCCAGCGAGACUGCCGCGCGCAACGCGGAGGAAGGUGGGGAUGAUGUCAAGUCAGCACGGCCCUUACGUCCUGGGGCGACACACGUGCUACAAUGGGCGGCACAAAGGGUUGCGAUAAACGCGAGUUGGAGCUAAUCCCAAAAAACCGUCCUCAGUACGGAUUGCAGU
Molecule: ribosomal RNA, 515 nt
Filed under: uncultured bacterium
Lineage: Bacteria
Description: bacterial SSU rRNA
Rfam family: Bacterial small subunit ribosomal RNA
Source: RNAcentral